GAUGAACGCUGGCGGCGUGCCUAAUGCAUGCAAGUCGAGCGAACGGACGAGAAGCUUGCUUCUCUGAUGUUAGCGGCGGACGGGUGAGUAACACGUGGAUAACCUACCUAUAAGACUGGGAUAACUUCGGGAAACCGUAGCUAAUACCGGAUAAUAUUUUGAACCGCAUGGUUCAAAAGUGAAAGACGGUCUUGCUGUCACUUAUAGAUGGAUCCGCGCUGCAUUAGCUAGUUGGUAAGGUAACGGCUUACCAAGGCAACGAUGCAUAGCCGACCUGAGAGGGUGGUAGGCCACACUGGAACUGAGACACGGUCCAGACUCCUACGAGAGGCAGCAGUAGGGAAUCUUCCGCAAUGGGCGAAAGCCUGACGGAGCGACGCCGCGUGAGUGAUGAAGGUCUUCGGAUCGUAAAACUCUGUUAUUAGGGAAGAACAUAUGUGUAAGUAACUGUGCACAUCUUGACGGUACCUAAUCAGAAAGCCACGGCUAACUACGUG
RNAcentral lists this ribosomal RNA (497 nucleotides) under uncultured bacterium. RNAcentral describes it as "partial 16S ribosomal RNA". It matches the Rfam family "Bacterial small subunit ribosomal RNA", at positions 28 to 507 of the family's 1533-position model. The record is from RNAcentral.